This is a long non-coding RNA of Rosa rugosa (rugosa rose), 839 nucleotides long. RefSeq lists it as uncharacterized. The record is from RefSeq and is a predicted model, not a curated record. Lineage: Eukaryota; Viridiplantae; Streptophyta; Magnoliopsida; Rosales; Rosaceae. The transcript has 5 exons.
AACCUAGAGACGCUAUCCCACAUAUGGGACUCUCUCAAACAUAGGCUGCCUCUCUCUCAAACCCGCUGUUCCUUCAUCAGAGUCCAGACCGCCUCUCUCAGCCACCACCUACGGCAGACGGCCAGACGCUAUCCCAGUAUCCCGUAGACACGAGGUGAGCUUGCGACGAGUCGGAUCGAAGAUCGAGGUGGAGUAGACGCUAGGCGAUCUGAGGCUGUGAUGUUGACUGUGGGGAGCUUGCGACGGAUCGAAGAUCGAGUAUAAUUCUCAGCCCGUAACCAUACGAAGACGCUGAAGCUCAAGAUUGGCUUACUGGGUCUUGUUGGAUUUGCGCUCCAAUGCUUUGUUGUUCUUGCAUGGCCUCUCUUUGCUCUGGUCUAUCCUCUGUAUUCUUCCAUUAGAGCAAUCGAGACAAAUUCCAUUACAGAUACUCACAAGAUAAAUACGUAUUGAGUCGUCUUCUCAUUGAUCUUGCUAUUUGAACAUGCUUUUAUCAGUUUAUGAAGCUCCUUGAAUGGUUCUUUGCUUGGUGAAGACUUGAUUGUGCAAACAACAAACCUUUGCAACUUUUUGGGAAUUGAUACAAUUUUUGUAUCAAACAUUACAACGUUUUUGGGAAUUGAUGAGGACUUGAUCAGUUCUUGUAUCAAAUCAGUUUUUGUAGCCUUAGUGCCUCAGUGCAAUUAAUCAGUGAGACUGAGGAACUGAGAAUGUGAGUUUGAGACUUUAGUUUAUGUGGGAUUUGUAAUUAUUUGUAUUAACUCAGGUUCUGAAAUAUCAAAGUACUCAGUGAUGUAUUUUUUAUUUAUUUAUUUUAUAAUUAGUAAAAUUUGGUUUUA